GUGGCUGUUAUUUGGAAAUAAUAACCGACGUGGAAACAGCUGUGAAGUGAUAGAAACUGACUUCAGUUUGGAAUUCAGAGACUCGGCAGUGAGACUGUGCUUCGGAUGUGACAACAUUCUCCAGGUGUUUAGAAGCAACCUACGGUGAAGAGGAAAAGUGGCAUGAAUAAUACAAAACAACAGAUAACGCACGGAGAAGAUGGCUUCAGCCACAUCUUGGAAACAGGGAUGGGGGUGGUGACUUUGGGACCCGUCUGAUACCAGAGGCAGGUGGCCCAAAUAAGAGUCUGGAGGCAACCAUUUUUGUGGACCAAAUUGCCACAGCAUGGACAUAUUUGGAGUGGAGGAUCAUCGUGUCCUCGUCCCAGGACACCAAGGACACCAUUCUGAGCCGUGGACAACUCAGCAACAGGAGCCGAAGUAGAGGGAGACUGGUGCUUAAAAGAUGUAAAGGCGACUAAUGUCAUAUCUGGACCAGUGAGGAGAUGAAACAAAGACCGGGCUCUCCUGGCUGUCCUUUCUGGACAUAAAGACUGUCCAGCUGUUGCUUAGUGGACAAUAUUGAGACCGAGACUUCCCCCACGACAUGGAGAAGCAAGCCCAGACGGCGGACAAGCAGAUGAAGGUGUGAAUUUCCCCCACACUUUACUUCUAUUCUCAUCUGUAGCAGCUAAAUUUUUAUUGAUUUUUAUCAAUGGACUCAUCCCAAAGUCUGCAGUAUUCAAGAGUUAUAACGGGAACUUCGUAGAGCUGUGGCACUGAAUCACGUACCAUUGUAAACAAUUAACCAAUUGCUUGAAAAAACACGUUCACUCCUCCCAACGGUUUCCAAGAUUAACCUUGGGUGAAGUGCUCCAUUUCUAACCACCCACCCACCAAGUGAACAUUAAUCCUGAGAAGCGAUCAAUAUCUGCAAGUGUGAUGCUGCUAUUAGGAACAGGAUGUGUGAUGUGUAUGUUUCCCUCCCACCUAAAAAUACCGAUUCCCAAAGGGUAGGGCCUACACUGUUGCUUGGAGGCAAGGGCUGGAUCAGUUAAACCGUGAAGUUCCCUCUAGAGCUGGGAUUCUACUUUCGCAUUGGACAACGUUCAGGAGCGAGUAGGUGUUGGUUCCAUAAUAGAAGGCAGAGCCAACAGAAACAAAAGCAACAAACGAUUGAGCUGGAAGGAAGAGAGGAAAUGGAAUUGUACAUCUCUUUUCAAAGUCAUCCAGAUGGAAGAAAUUCCCUUCUAAGUCCCGAUAUACUGUUACCGAGUCUUCCAAGAUUGUGAAAAUUAUGGAUGAUAUUUCAGCAGGAGCUGAAUUCUCCCAAACUUAACCAUUCAGCCAUUUUCCCAUUUGCAUCUUCAUGUUUUUCUGAGAAUAAAAUAUCCUCGGAUAAUAUCCAAUAAACAACCACACGUGAAACCAACCUG
Molecule: long non-coding RNA, 1415 nt
Organism: Ornithorhynchus anatinus (platypus)
Lineage: Eukaryota; Metazoa; Chordata; Mammalia; Monotremata; Ornithorhynchidae
Exons: 4
Source: RefSeq, a predicted model, not a curated record